Molecule: ribosomal RNA, 253 nt
Filed under: uncultured bacterium
Lineage: Bacteria
Description: partial 16S ribosomal RNA
Rfam family: Bacterial small subunit ribosomal RNA
Source: RNAcentral
UACGAAGGGGGCUAGCGUUGUUCGGAAUUACUGGGCGUAAAGGGCUCGUAGGCGGCCAACUAAGUCAGACGUGAAAUCCCUCGGCUUAACCGGGGAACUGCGUCUGAUACUGGAUGGCUUGAAUCCGGGAGAGGGAUGCGGAAUUCCAGGUGUAGCGGUGAAAUGCGUAGAUAUCUGGAGGAACACCGGUGGCGAAGGCGGCAUCCUGGACCGGUAUUGACGCUGAGGAGCGAAAGCCAGGGGAGCAAACGGG